GCAGCUAAACUUCCUUUUUUGUUCUUUAUUGUAAUCUCAAUUUCAAAUUAGCUAGAGUUCUUUGCUAUUUUCUUUGUUCCUAUGCAGUUUUGUAACAUUUUUUUUCUUUAUUAUUAUUAUUUUCCUAAAAUACUCUUCUUGGCUUUCCCAUUGAGUUGAUUAUCAGUUUUGUUGUUGUUAUGGUUGAAGACAACUCUUCAAGAUAAAGAGAAGCAGAGAGCUUGAGAGGUGGAUGGAGUACAGUAAAAUAUGACCAUAUUGGCUUACAUCAAAUCAAUGAAAGAGUGAAUAAGAGAACCAAUACGGCUGAUUUGUCAGGGUUAGUCGGGACUUGUGGGUGGCGGUCUAACUGCUGUGACACUCCAAAGAUUACAUUAGCGGAAGAUGAUGGCUUGAGAAAAUCCCUGUUGAAUCAUCAUGAUACAAAGGCUUUACAAAAGCUGCCAUUCUGUGAUUUAGGAGUAAGUUUGGCAGUAGGAUUCAAAAUAUGAGGGUAACAUUUACUGCCAAGGUGCAACUGUCACUUUUUUGUUCAUUCCUUUUGUCCUUUACAAAUCAAACCAUAUUGUCAUCAUCAUCAUAGCCUUGACUGAGCUAUUUCAGAUCAGCUACUAAUCAAAUCAUAAUAUUAAGAUGUUCUAGGAUUAAUUGAAUUUUUUUCAUGGACAAUAUCUCACCCCAGUCAGCACUAACAAACAAAUGAAGGGGAAAAGGUGUAGUGAUUACACCUUGGCAAUAAAUGUUCCUACCCCUAUUUUCUGCCUCCCGUCAACUAGAGCCUUCGCUUUUCCAUCUCUGUCAACAAAUCAUUAUGGAUUCCUCCUUAACUCGUAAUGUUUGUAAGUUAAUAUAAGAUUUCUAACCUAAAUUCUUAGACAUGGUAACAAUAGGAAGCAGAAGAUCAUAAUGUAUUCUUGCUGACAGCUUGAUUUUAUUUAUUUAUUUCUUUUGGCCCCAAAUAUGCAAAUAAAGCCCCAGUGUUUUCGUCCUUAGCUAUUUCGCAAAUUCUCCUUGGCUGAAAUGAUCUUACAUGUUGAUUGAUAUCUAGUUGCUUGCUGAUGGUCAGAUCAUGUAUGAUACCUCAUGAUUUUAUGUUCCUGCAUUUGCAUGCGAAUGUGCAUAUGUUUUUUGUGAAUGUAUGUUAAUUUGUGGCUAUUUGAACACACAUGGCCAUUUAGCUGUCAUAAAUCAUCAUCGCACCUCUCCUGAAGUUCUCUACUAGAAUUU
Long non-coding RNA from Magnolia sinica, 1227 nucleotides. RefSeq lists it as uncharacterized. Lineage: Eukaryota; Viridiplantae; Streptophyta; Magnoliopsida; Magnoliales; Magnoliaceae. The transcript is spliced from 2 exons. The record is from RefSeq and is a predicted model, not a curated record.